UCAUCAUGAGGGCUAACUCCACUUUAAGUCUGCUAACUACUACACAUCCAGUAUUGAAUUAGUAUCAAAAGGUGACAUGAAGCAGAUUAAAGCAAAGAUUUCAUGAGAUAACAACAAUCUCAUAAACCAACAAAGUGGAAACUGUGGAUCAUGGAAGAAAACAAAACAGAUACAUAUUAACUAAACUUGAUAUAAGACACAGAUUCAUUCUCAAGGACAAAUGGAUGAAACCCCUAUAACAUGCUUUCUUUAUUUAAUAGUU
Molecule: unclassified non-coding RNA, 262 nt
Filed under: Hevea brasiliensis (rubber tree)
Lineage: Eukaryota; Viridiplantae; Streptophyta; Magnoliopsida; Malpighiales; Euphorbiaceae
Source: RNAcentral